Molecule: non-coding RNA, 26 nt
Filed under: Mus musculus (house mouse)
Lineage: Eukaryota; Metazoa; Chordata; Mammalia; Rodentia; Muridae
Source: RNAcentral
UUCUACAGCUGGCAAAGAGCUAGGCC